RNAcentral lists this long non-coding RNA (890 nucleotides) under Marmota monax (woodchuck). Lineage: Eukaryota; Metazoa; Chordata; Mammalia; Rodentia; Sciuridae. The record is from RNAcentral.
AUCUGGGGCGCAGGGGGACAGAGGAGAGCAGAUGGCAUCAUUUGCACAAGCUGAUUGGGAGUCUUCUCUCAAUACCCUCCUGCCUGCCCCAAGAACCUCGCAAGGCCAGCCUGCCCCGUGCAGCUGGAAGGUAGGUUCAGAUGCACCAGGUGUGGGUGGGGGCUGUGGCAGGGCAUGCUUGGCGGGGUCUCGAGGCCGGGCACAGCUGGGGCUGAAAUUAUGACUUCAUCUGCGUGCUCCCCGGGGGCUGCCCUGCGUCCUUAUCCUAAGGAAGUGAAAUCACUUCUCACACAUUCUCCCCGACACCCGCGGCCCAGUGGGCCAAGAGAGGCAGCAAGCCACUGCCACAUUUUAAGGGACAGCCGGGAAGCCAGAGACAGCUGCAGACUUGUCCAAGCAGAGAAUUAAGACCCAGCAGCCUGUCGCCCACCCAAGCCAGGCCGGGGAAUGGCCUCCUGGACACCGGGGACAGAAUCCCAAAGGAUCCCGAGAAGGAGCUGGAGGGGGCAUCCUGCCAGCAAGGAAGGGCUGGCCAAGGCCACAGGGCUCAGGUGACAGCCUCCAGAGCCAGCCACCCCUCUCCACCGUGUCAUGGCCCAGCCCAGCCUGACGCACAGAGCCACAUGACAGCUCCUUCCACCCUCCCGUGCUCUCUGUGGUCCUAGAAGCUGCUUCCCAGGCUCUGAGGACCUCCCUCUCCUGGGCCGUGCCCCAGUCCCACGGUGUCAGGCAGGCAGUCAGCAUCGUCUUCUUCCCACUCAGGGCUGUCACUGUCACGCCCAACCACUGUCACACUCCACAGACAAGGAGAGGCACCCUGUCAUGGUGGCAGGAAUACAAUAGGUCACAGAUGCUGUAGAGCACAGCACGUACAGAGCAGUGGACUCGGU